UGCAUUCACUACUGUAAGUCGCUCUGCAUAAGAGCAUCUGCUAAAUGACUAAAA
Salmo salar (Atlantic salmon) is the source of this 54-nucleotide non-coding RNA. Lineage: Eukaryota; Metazoa; Chordata; Actinopteri; Salmoniformes; Salmonidae. The record is from Rfam.